This 27-nucleotide non-coding RNA is filed under the name Homo sapiens (human). Lineage: Eukaryota; Metazoa; Chordata; Mammalia; Primates; Hominidae. The record is from RNAcentral.
UGAGAGGCCACGACCUGCGAACCGACA